RNAcentral lists this transfer RNA (85 nucleotides) under Felis catus (domestic cat). It matches the Rfam family "tRNA". From Rfam's summary of the family: Transfer RNA (tRNA) molecules are approximately 80 nucleotides in length. RNAcentral also lists the same sequence under 1 other name. Lineage: Eukaryota; Metazoa; Chordata; Mammalia; Carnivora; Felidae. The record is from Rfam by way of RNAcentral.
GCCUGGGUGGCUCAGUUGGUUAAGCAUCUGACUUUGGCUCAGGUCAUGGUCUCCUGGUCUGUGGGUUCAAGCCCUGCAUCAGGCU